CUACUUCUUGCCACUGCUUGCGGACUCCAAGGAUAACUGGUUCUAUUCCGUCCCCUUGUCGGGAGUUACAAAGGACCUAGAAGUUGAGUGCUGCUUUGGGAAGAGGCAAUGUUACAGUAGCACUGGAGGCCACUAAGCCUCCAUCCAUGUCAUUGGUCCAGUCCAGAGGAAGAUUCCAACAGGACUGCUCCCAUUGGGAUC
This is a non-coding RNA of Myodes glareolus (Bank vole), 201 nucleotides long. NCBI's taxonomy places the organism in Eukaryota, Metazoa, Chordata, Mammalia, Rodentia, Cricetidae. The record is from RefSeq and is a predicted model, not a curated record.